AUGGAGGAUGCGAGGGGGUACCGGGGGAUACCGGCGUUUGGGGAAUGGAACUACGGCGGCGGCGACGACUGGUCCGUGCUGACCCAGCGCUUCGAGUCGGCGAUGCACACCCCGUUCCCCGUUCACAAACCCUGCAAGAGAGCGAGGGCGUGUCGCAGGAGGCGCUUCCCAGCGUUCGGAGAGUGGAACAACCUCGGUGAUGGUGACGCCGGUGGCUGGACGGCGGCCGUCGUCAACCAGUACUUCGAGCCUGUCACGGCACACAAAUCACUCAACGAGGAAUUCAAUGGUUACGACAGUGGCGUCGUCGCCAUGGGGAAGCAGCAGCACAAGGUGGCGAGGCAAACCUGGGUGGAUGACUCAGGGACCCACGACGCAAUGGAACUCUUCUCCUUUGCGGGGGUCAAGGCUGUUGACGACGGCCUGUAUGAGGUCCCAUCGGACAUGCCCUGUGCCAAGCCAAUUCCAGUAUGUAAUUAA
This 480-nucleotide ribosomal RNA is filed under the name Triticum aestivum (bread wheat). Its description in RNAcentral is "partial small subunit ribosomal RNA". Lineage: Eukaryota; Viridiplantae; Streptophyta; Magnoliopsida; Poales; Poaceae. The record is from RNAcentral.